CUUGAACUGGCGCUUGACGCCUGACGCCUCGCCCUUGGAGGUUCGCCCUUCGCCGGAGCUUCACCUCUUCACACACAGCGCCAAAAUGAAUAAACAGCUGUCUACCACCACGGCGGCGGCGCUUGUAGGUGGCACCAGGGACGCAGGAUGAACAUGCUGCAUUUCUCAAGAUUCACCAGCGUUUACUCAUGCUAAGUAUGGUGGAGAAGGGACUCCUAGGGACCAGGGAUCAAACCCAAGGCCUUGCUCAUGUUAAGUACACAUUCUACUACUAAGCUACAUCCCCAACCCCUUGACAUAUAACUUGAAUGACUCUCAAUUUCCUCACCUCAUAAGAUGAAGAAAAUGAUACCUACUAUAUUAUACAAAGAUAACAUGAAUUAACCCAGUGAAAUGUCUAGAACAGUACCUGAUAGAGUACGUGGUAGGCACUUAAUAUUUAAGAAUGUUAGUUCUCCAAUACAAAUAUGAAUCUCAUACAUAUCCAUUAUGCCCAGUGGCAAUGAAACAAUUAUCAUUUUAGAGGAAAUAUGUCUUACUAGAAGAGAAGGAAAUGAGGACAGAAAUAAAAGGACAUGAAAUAAAAAUGUAAGAAAUGUCCAACAAAGGUUCCUAAAGACAUCUAUCUGCAAAGACACUUUCUUCUAAGAUCUGCAUCCUUGAGAGGACACCUAUCACAUCAGAAUUAGCUAGUAUGGAAAACAGUGAAAUAUAAGAAGUAUGUUAUAUAUCACAAAAAAUAUCUACAACAUAUGCAAAGGGUUUUGCUUUCUUGCUAUUCUUGUAAAGAAUUCUUUCAAAUAAGUAAGAUAUAAAAAUAGAAAAAGUUGGGCUGGGGGUGUAGCUCAGUGAUAGAGCACUAUCCUAGUAUGCACAAGAUGCUAGGUUCAAUCCCCAGCACCUAAAAAAAAAGUAGGAAAAUGGUCAAAGAAGAUGAACAGAGAAUUCAACAAUAAAAAAGGCCAAUAUAUGGAUUUCAAAAGUCCACCCACAUAAAUUAAAACUAGAAUAGAAGGCAAUUAUUUUUUGUUUAUAUAUUUGGCAAAGAUUAAAAUAAUGAUGUGUAUUUUUGGAUGUUGGACAAUAUUAUAAAAAGCUGAAGGAUAUGUAAAUUAUAAUAAUUUUUAGCAGUCUGUAUCUGAGACCCUAAAAUGCAUAUUUUUUCCCAGGGCCUUGUACAUGCCAGGCAAGCACCCUACCACCGAUGCAUACUGUUGGAACCUCUGAUGGGAAUUUAUUCUAAUAUUCAAAUAUUUUCUAAAAAUUUACAUGAGAGAGCAGGGAUUUAGCUCAGUGAUUUCGCCGCCUGCUGCGCAAGUGCAAGGACCCGAGUUCAAUCCCAGGUACCAAAAAAAAAAAAAAUUUGCAUGAGAAUUUCCAUUACAGGGUCAUUUAAAUGUAGUGAAAAAUUGCAC
RNAcentral lists this long non-coding RNA (1415 nucleotides) under Heterocephalus glaber (naked mole-rat). RNAcentral describes it as "lncRNA (ENSHGLG00100042388.1)". The record is from RNAcentral. Lineage: Eukaryota; Metazoa; Chordata; Mammalia; Rodentia; Bathyergidae.